RNAcentral lists this unclassified non-coding RNA (439 nucleotides) under Hevea brasiliensis (rubber tree). Lineage: Eukaryota; Viridiplantae; Streptophyta; Magnoliopsida; Malpighiales; Euphorbiaceae. The record is from RNAcentral.
AGGUAACUUGCUUUCCUCCCCGAAACUCCGAUUACUCGCAGCUGUUGCGGCGAGAGUCCGAGCACGGUGUCCGGCACCACCGCCGCCUCGCCGCCGCAUAGCGAGGCAAAACGAUUGUAGAUCGAUUCGGCGGCCUUCGUGGCGAGCUGUUGGUAGAGGAUGCUCUUCGCUAGUGCUAGAAACGGUGGAUUGGACUUGAAAUUGGGGGAUUCGCAUGAAUCUAAUAUGCUUAUCAGGAGAGGAUCCGAACGGCGUAAAUGAUCGAUCGCUGUACAAAUUUCAUCCGAAGACGAUAAUGAUUUGACGGUACCGGCCAGGUUCGGAAAUGCUCGUGUCGGGUCAUUUCCGCCGGAAGUUGUAAUUUGUGGUUUGGCCGGUUCUUGUUUGGAGGAAAUCUUCCGUACUUUUGUAGAUCGGAACGGAAUCUUGGAGGAAGACG